This 614-nucleotide unclassified non-coding RNA is filed under the name Paecilomyces variotii. RNAcentral describes it as "sequence contains 18S rRNA gene, ITS1, 5.8S rRNA gene, ITS2, 28S rRNA gene". The stretch from base 229 to 382 matches the Rfam family "5.8S ribosomal RNA". The record is from RNAcentral. Lineage: Eukaryota; Fungi; Ascomycota; Eurotiomycetes; Eurotiales; Thermoascaceae.
UCGUAACAAGGUUUCCGUAGGUGAACCUGCGGAAGGAUCAUUACCGAGUGAGGGUCCCUCGGGGCCCAACCUCCCAUCCGUGUUGACUUGACCCCUGUUGCUUCGGCGGGCCCGCCGUGGUUCACGCCCCGGCCGCCGGGGGGUUCACGCCCCCGGGCCCGCGCCCGCCGAAGACCCCUGGAACGCUGCCUUGAAGGUUGCCGUCUGAGUAUACAAUCAAUGAAUUAAAACUUUCAACAACGGAUCUCUUGGUUCCGGCAUCGAUGAAGAACGCAGCGAAAUGCGAUAAGUAAUGUGAAUUGCAGAAUUCCGUGAAUCAUCGAAUCUUUGAACGCACAUUGCGCCCCCUGGCAUUCCGGGGGGCAUGCCUGUCCGAGCGUCAUUGCUAACCCUCCAGCCCGGCUGGUGUGUUGGGCCGCCGUCCCCCCCGGGGGACGGGCCCGAAAGGCAGCGGCGGCGUCGCGUCCGGUCCUCGAGCGUAUGGGGCUUUGUCACGCGCUUCAGUAGGACCGGCCGGCUUGCUGGCCAACGACCUUCACGGUCACACCUAUAUUUUCUCUUAGGUUGACCUCGGAUCAGGUAGGGAUACCCGCUGAACUUAAGCAUAUCAAUAA